GUCAGGAUGGCUGAGCGGUCUAAGGCUAUGCAUUAAGGUCGCAGCCACUUCUGUGGGCGUGCGUUCGAAUCCCACUUCUGACA
Trichonephila clavata is the source of this 83-nucleotide non-coding RNA. NCBI's taxonomy places the organism in Eukaryota, Metazoa, Arthropoda, Arachnida, Araneae, Nephilidae. The record is from the annotation of a GenBank genome assembly.